Long non-coding RNA from Lolium perenne, 1639 nucleotides. RefSeq lists it as uncharacterized. NCBI's taxonomy places the organism in Eukaryota, Viridiplantae, Streptophyta, Magnoliopsida, Poales, Poaceae. The record is from RefSeq and is a predicted model, not a curated record.
CGACUAAUCUUUUCCUCCAAAUUCCCCUCUAGCGCCCACAUGCUCCUACUGGGCAGGGCCAUCCUCUUCCUCGGUUCCUCCCUGGCCGUCCUGCAGGCACCCAAUUAGAGUGAUGCAUCCCCACGCUGAGCUCCUCUAUCCUCCCUGGCCAUCCCCUGUUCCCGAUUCAGGGGCGCAGCCGGCAGGCCCACAUCGAUGGCAACGUGGGCUGCGGGGCCUAUGGCGGCAGUCAGCGGCGGACGCCCUCAGCACGAGCAGGGUGACAUGACUGCGAGCAAGCGGACGGACGGGUCUAGAUGGUGGUGUUCCAUCUUCAUCAUGUCGUCUGCUCCUCUUCGUGUUGAAUUUGGUUGCGACUGCAUCUAGAUCGUCUGCUCCAUUUCCAUUUCCUCACAUUUGUGCGACACUCUGCCAGACUGAUGUUCUUCUGAUCUGGGAGUGUGAGAGCUGUUGCUCCGGCUGGUGCUUCUGCUGAUUCACGUCGCCCCGUUGCCCCGCCGCUCUCGCCGCAAGCCCGCAACCGCCGAACAUGUCCAUGUCGUGCAUCAUGGUGUAGCUGCUGCCUGGCUGGCCGGAGGCCCGCGUCGCGCACGGGUCAGUGGUGCAACGACCGUGGAGUGGUCCUUGCCCAGAUCGACCACGGGGCUACCCGGCGCCUGCUGAUCUAGGAGCGCGGCUCAGCUUCCACGCGACGAUGACAACACUGUUGGCAACGCAGAUCGUGACAGACGUGCAGCAGAAGCAGGUUUGAGAGGCCGGGUUGCACCGUCCUUUUCUUGCUCGCAGACUACAGGCUGUAAAUUGAAAAGAACCACCCGUUUCUGCAUCCUCGGUCCUUGCACCGAUAAGUAAAAAAACAUUCACUCUUAAUAUUGUACACUAUAACUCUUUGGUAUCUCGAUAUGAAAUUUGAAUAUUUCAUGGUUUCUACAUAUAAUGCAUUGUUGCUGUACCAUCGGUAGCAAUUCAGUGGUAUCCUUUUGCACAGCCCCACCAGCCUCAAGUUCAGCAGUGAAAAGGGGUUCGACAGUAAGAUCAGAUGUUUCUCAUUCUGAAACUUACGUCCUAGCACCAUCACCUUACAGUCACGCUGCCAUGGUAAAAGUGAGAGUUGUAUCCUUCUGCCCAGUCUCCAGCAACACAUCAGUAUUAGUAAUAGAUCGAUUAAUCCAAUGGCUGUUCUAGCACAUUCAAGAUGAUAUGCAUUAUCCUUUCCCUUAAGCUUACGUGUCCAAAAUCAUUCUUGAAUAGUCUUCUCACUACAAUGUGCUCUGUAGUACAAUAUCAGGUUUCAUGGUUUGAGUUUAACAGUGUAUUAGCCCUUCCGUAUGUUCUAACUAGCACAUUAAUCUCGAGUUCUUCCAUCAAUUUGUAUUAUUUGAAGUUCUCAACGUAAAGUUGACCCUGCUCAGGAUUACUUCUUAACGGUCUUUUCCAAACUUUUCACAUGUUCCUCUUCUUUCAAACUUAUAUACAUGUUUAUCAGCAAAUUCAACUGAUAAUAUGCCAUGUUUGUGAAAUUUAGAUGUUGGUACCUGGGAGAUAUAUUUCAGUGUCCAGAAUUAUGAUGAUUUCGAACAUGGUUAAUUUAAUACGGAGGAUCAGACAUGGACCUAAAACAAGGUCAACCAUUCAAAAA